UACGUAGGGGGGCAAGCGUUGUCCGGAUUCAUUGGGCGUAAAGAGCGUGUAGGCGGCCAGGUAGGUCGGUUGUGAAAACUGGAGGCUCAACCUUCAGACGUCGACCGAAACCAUCUGGCUAGAGUCCGGGAGAGGAGAGUGGAAUUCCUGGUGUAGCGGUGAAAUGCGCAGAUAUCAGGAAGAACACCCGUGGCGAAAGCGGCUCUCUGGAACGGUACUGACGCUGAGGCACGAAGGCCAGGGGAGCAAACGGG
RNAcentral lists this ribosomal RNA (254 nucleotides) under uncultured bacterium. Its description in RNAcentral is "partial 16S ribosomal RNA". It matches the Rfam family "Bacterial small subunit ribosomal RNA", at positions 524 to 776 of the family's 1533-position model. The record is from RNAcentral.